CCGUGCCAGCAGCCGCGGUAAUACGGAGGAUGCAAGCGUUAUCCGGAUUCAUUGGGUUUAAAGGGUGCGUAGGCGGAUUGGUAAGUCAGUGGUGAAAUCCUCUCGCUUAACGGGAGAAUUGCCGUUGAUACUAUCAAUCUUGAGUACACUUGAAGUGGGCGGAAUGUGUCAUGUAGCGGUGAAAUGCAUAGAUAUGACACAGAACACCGAUUGCGAAGGCAGCUCACUAAAUUGUAACUGACGCUGAGGCACGAAAGCGUGGGGAGCAAACAGGAUUAGAUACCCUGGUAGUCCACGCUGUAAACGAUGAUCACUAGCUGUUGGCGAUACACUGUCAGCGGCUGAGCGAAAGUAUUAAGUGAUCCACCUGGGGAGUACGAUCGCAAGGUUGAAACUCAAAGGAAUUGACGGGGGCCCGCACAAGCGGAGGAGCAUGUGGUUUAAUUCGAUGAUACGCGAGGAACCUCACCUAGGCUUAAAUGCUUUUUGACCGUCCUGGAAACAGGAUUUCCCUUCGGGGCAAAUUGCAAGGUGCUGCAUGGUUGUCGUCAGCUCGUGCCGUGAGGUGUCGGGUUAAGUCCCAUAACGAGCGCAACCCCUAUUCUUAGUUGCCAUCAGGUAAUGCUGGGAACUCUAAGGAAACUGCCUACGCAAGUAGUGAGGAAGGUGGGGAUGACGUCAAAUCAGCACGGCCCUUACGCCUAGGGCUACACACGUGCUACAAUGGCCAGCAUAGUGGGUUGCUACCUGGUAACAGGACGCUAAUCUCUAAAUCUGGUCUCAGUUCGGAUUGAAGUCUGCAACUCGACUUCAUGAAGUUG
RNAcentral lists this ribosomal RNA (821 nucleotides) under uncultured organism. RNAcentral describes it as "bacterial SSU rRNA". It matches the Rfam family "Bacterial small subunit ribosomal RNA", at positions 503 to 1328 of the family's 1533-position model. The record is from RNAcentral.